CUCUUCUCCCAUGAGUUCCCUUCGUCUUCUCCGACCACCUUCUAACAUGAAUCCAUGGUGGUAUCACCACCCACCAGCCUCCUUUGGCCAUCUCCGGCCUUGUUCCUGCAAGCUAUGUCUAUUUCGAGUCUGGCUCCGAGUCUUCCUUCUUAGAUCCAGGCCUUUCUACCAUUUGGGUUCCUCUGAAAACCUUAGCUUUUUAGAUUUUUCUGAUCUAUUUAGAUAUGUACCAGAUCUAAG
RNAcentral lists this long non-coding RNA (240 nucleotides) under Nicotiana benthamiana. RNAcentral describes it as "long non-coding RNA (NBEN_LNC001332)". Lineage: Eukaryota; Viridiplantae; Streptophyta; Magnoliopsida; Solanales; Solanaceae. The record is from RNAcentral.